GUAACUACCCAGAGUGGUCCAAGGAAGGAAAACCAGUGAAAAGAUGACAGGGUCAUGGAUGGCCACAGCUUGUUGAUGAGCGGGAGGAUGUUCUGAUGGACCAGAAGACAACAGGCAGUAUCAUUCCUCCUGACUGCUGGAGCUUGUACCACUGGAGCAUUUCUAACCUCUUCUGACUGCUUCAUGUUUUGAUGUCACCUGAGGUCACAUAGCAGCAAUACGAGGAGUCACUUGACCAUCAGGGCCGUCUUCUUCUGUCACCACAUCCAGAAGAGUUGAAUACGAAGCCUGAGAGACGAGGGGAAAAGGAAUUGAAAUCACAUCGCCAGCUGCAGCUGCAGCUCUGCCAGCCGCCUGCCGAUGCACAUCCUCUUUCCAAUACCGAAGGGAAGGUGGGCGAAGGGGUUGAUGGUAUAGUUCUCCCGCAGCCAGCGCUCAGGUUUGAACUGCUUUCCAUCAUCAAAGUACUCCUCAUUUGAGCCCAGUGCAUGGCUGUUUAUCAUCAAAACUGUCUGUAAGAGGGAGACAAUGAUAGUAUGAGUGAGUGUUUUUCAGUUUUAUGCAUUUAUAAUAGAUGAGUAAAAUAUUAGGAUAUAAUAAGAAUAUAUGUUGCCAGUCUGUGCAGAGCCGCACAGGUAAAUAAAUUAACAUAUCGAGAUUGAUUUUAUGUACAUUAAUGUAUGACUACAGAAUUAUCCAUACACUUCAAAAGCAUCAAAAGUUCAAGUACUCACUGAAGAGAAAUGAAUGUGAUAAUACGAUUUAUUUAAUAAAGACUCCUCUACCAUAGGGCUAAUCUUUGAAUGCAGCUUUCAGAAUUGUAAAUGCUAUUAACAGUUGCUCCAUUUAAACUGCACGUUAUGUGAACCUGUUUCUGUAACAUGCUUGUUUUAGGCGUAAGUCAAUUGUAAAUAAAUACAGUAAUGUAAUCUGCUCAUGUCAGGUGUAUGGAAACGUUAACUAAGCCACUUACUCCUUUGGGAAUGGCAUAAUCUCCCAACACAGUGUCUUUGUCCAGGGUUCUGCUGGUGAAUGGGACUGAUGGUGAUAACCUG
Notolabrus celidotus (New Zealand spotty) is the source of this 1055-nucleotide long non-coding RNA. RefSeq lists it as uncharacterized. NCBI's taxonomy places the organism in Eukaryota, Metazoa, Chordata, Actinopteri, Labriformes, Labridae. The record is from RefSeq and is a predicted model, not a curated record. The transcript is spliced from 4 exons.